This 423-nucleotide ribosomal RNA is filed under the name uncultured bacterium. RNAcentral describes it as "bacterial SSU rRNA". It matches the Rfam family "Bacterial small subunit ribosomal RNA", at positions 359 to 776 of the family's 1533-position model. The record is from RNAcentral.
GAAUUUUGGGCAAUGGGCGAAAGCCUGACCCAGCAACGCCGCGUGAAGGAUGAAAUCCCUCGGGAUGUAAACUUCGCAAGAACAGGAAGAAUAAGUAAGGGUUAAUAUCUCUUACGAUGACGGUACUGUUUGUAAGCUCCGGCUAACUCCGUGCCAGCCGCCGCGGUAAUACGGGGGGAGCAAGCGUUGUUCGGAUUUACGGGGCGGAAAGGGCGCGGAGGCGGACACCGCAAGUCAGGUGUGAAAGCUCUGGGCUUAACCCAGAAAGGUCAACUGAUACUGCGGGGCUAGAGUGCAGAAGGGGCAACUGGAAUUCUCGGUGUAGCGGUGAAAUGCGUAGAUAUCGAGAGGAACACCUGCGGCGAAGGCGGGUUGCUGGGCUGACACUGACGCUGAAGCGCGAAAGCUAGGGGAGCGAACGGG